RNAcentral lists this ribosomal RNA (765 nucleotides) under uncultured archaeon. Its description in RNAcentral is "bacterial SSU rRNA". It matches the Rfam family "Archaeal small subunit ribosomal RNA", at positions 28 to 769 of the family's 1478-position model. The record is from RNAcentral.
UGCUAUCGGGAUAGGACUAAGACAUGCUAGUUGAGCGCUUCCAGCCAAAACGGGAGCGCAGCGCACAGCUCAGUAACACGUGGCUAAUCUGCCCUUGGGACCGGAACACCCCCGGGAAACUGGGGCUAAUUCUCGAUAGGUGAAGAACUCUGGAAUGAGUCUUUGCCAAAAAGACGUUUACGUUAUGCUCGUAGGCGUCGCCCAAGGAUGAGGCCGCGACCGAUCAGGUUGUUGGUGAGGUAAUGGCUCACCAAGCCUUUUACCGGUGCGGGCCGUGAGAGCGGGAGCCCGGAGAUGGGCACUGAGACAAGGGCCCAGGCCCUACGGGGCGCAGCAGUCGCGAAAACUUUGCAAUACACGAAAGUGUGACAGGGCUAUCCCGAGUGCCAUCCGCUGAGGAAGGCUUUUACCCAGUCUAGAACGCUGGGGGAAUAAGGAGAGGGCAAGUCUGGUGUCAGCCGCCGCGGUAAUACCAGCUCUCCGAGUGGUGUGGAUGUUUAUUGGGCCUAAAGCAUCCGUAGCUGGCUGAGUUAGUCCCUUGUUAAAUCCACCGAAUUAAUCGUUGGAUUGCGGGGGAUACUGCUCGGCUAGGGGACGAGAGAGGCAGACGGUAUUUCUGGGGUAGGGGUGAAAUCCUAUAAUCCCAGGAGGACCACCAGUGGCGAACGCUGUCUGCUAGAACGCGCCCGACGGUGAGGGAUGAAAGCUGGGGGAGCGAACCGGAUUAGAUACCCGGGUAGUCCCAGCUGUAAACGAUGCAGACUA